RNAcentral lists this transfer RNA (67 nucleotides) under Goggia lineata. RNAcentral's name for it is "tRNA-Trp". The record is from RNAcentral. Lineage: Eukaryota; Metazoa; Chordata; Lepidosauria; Squamata; Gekkonidae.
AAGUUUAGGUUAACUCAAACCAAGAGCCUUCAAAGCCCUAAAUAGGGGCCUAACCCCCUAACUCCUG